RNAcentral lists this transfer RNA (73 nucleotides) under Phycisphaeraceae bacterium. RNAcentral describes it as "tRNA-His". It matches the Rfam family "tRNA". From Rfam's summary of the family: Transfer RNA (tRNA) molecules are approximately 80 nucleotides in length. Lineage: Bacteria; Pseudomonadati; Planctomycetota; Phycisphaerae; Phycisphaerales; Phycisphaeraceae. The record is from RNAcentral.
GUGGCCGUAGCUCAGUUGGUAGAGCACGAGAUUGUGAUUCUCGGGGUCGCGGGUUCAAGCCCCGUCGGUCACC